RNAcentral lists this long non-coding RNA (3260 nucleotides) under Olea europaea subsp. europaea. The record is from RNAcentral. Lineage: Eukaryota; Viridiplantae; Streptophyta; Magnoliopsida; Lamiales; Oleaceae.
CGUCUCUAUGGGUGAGUGCUAGGGGGGUUGUUAUUAGUGUAAGGAUGUCUUGUAACUUGAUCAACCAAGAGAGUGAAUCUAUUUGGCAAAUUUAAAAGAAUAUGAUGGAGAAUGAGAAGGGAUAUUAUUAUAUUUAAUUUCCAAUUUUAAUGCGCAUUUUAGGAAACACAAUUAGUGAGUUAUUUAGAGUAUUUUUCUAUUUCAACUAGCAUUAGUUUAAACCAUAAAUAAAGGGUUCUAUGCAAUGUGAUUGGAACAACCUUUGAUUAUGAAAUAAAUUGAUAUUUCCCUCUUAUUUCUUCUCUCUUCAUCUUCCCCUCUUCUUCUCUCCCCUUUCCCCUUCUCCUAUAAUUCUCUUAUUACAUCCUGCAUCACAAUAACUCUGGCAAUGUUCCCAAUAACAAGUCUCAACGAUGGAUAUAAGAAGGUUGUGUAAGUUGACAGCCAACUUACAAUUAAAUCCUUCACAUCAUUUCCUUGGUCAGUCAAUACCAGUUAUGCAUUUCAUCAAACCCAAAGUAUAGUGAAGACUUGGCAAGUAUCAGCUAGGGCAUACGCAUUGAAGGAAACAACGCACAGUACCUGAAUAUGCCAAGAACUAAUCUUGGGUUGGUAAAAAUGUAAAUUUAGGUAAUAGAUUUUCAGUAGGAACUUGGAAUAUAGGGAAACUAAAGAAUCCUACAAAUUGUAGAUGUGAUGCAUAGAAUGAAGUCAACAUACCUUGCUUACAAGAUGUGGAAUAGGUAAGAAAGAAGGCAAAAAAUUUGGGUAUACAAUCUAUAAACUUCAGCAUGCAUGUAUGGAGGAAAGAAAAAAAUAGCAAGAUAAUGUAAAUCAAGAUAUGAAAAAUAGUACAUAUUAUUUUUGAAAAAGUAGGCUGAAUACAAGGGACUUUCAAGGAUAAAUUUUUGAAGAACGAAGGUUAGAUGUAAAUGGAAUGAUAACCAAACAGGGAAUCAAGAGGUCCAUUUCGUUAGGAACCUGGCAAAGAAAGUCAUAGGAAAUUUUAAGGGUAAAAACCUACCUAAUAAAGAAACACAAUGGUCGAACUAGAAGGUUCUAGUGGAAAUUAAGGAUAAUGUAUGGAGGUUUUACAAGAUAUAAGCUAGCAAAACAGGAAACCAAGAAGGUAAUUCAGGAGCCCUAGGAAGGAACAUUUGAGAAGUAAAAUGAUUUACUUGGAACCAGGGAUUACAAGAUAUAUUGAGCAAGGGAAAAGAAAGUAUAGAUCUAAACCAAGUUAAAUAAAUGUACUUUAAGGAUAGAAACUAAAAGUUCAAUUUCAUUGUUAUUUCUAGAAAUUAUUUAAUAGAACACAUAAAGUACAUCUUGUGAAUCGGUCAAACUCUAUUGAAGAUCAAAAAAGCUAAUUAUAAUAGAAGCAUCUAAAUUUUGAAAGUGAAGAUUAUGAAGUGAUUUCAUAAAGAUAAGAAAAACAAUUUAUUUGGAUUAACACCUGUCAAAGUAUGUAAGUCUUUAUUUGGGGUGGGUAUUUAUAUUAGACAAAAAAGUUUUAACGGGAUAUUAACGAGUAAAAAUGUUUUUGAUGAAUAAAAGAAGAACGUUAUAAUGCUUAGUUUACAAAAUAAUCAAGGUUUUAUUCACAAGUUCACAAAUUGUAUAUACGUAUUGAACUCAUAAUCCUACCAUAACCAGUUUGGUUUUAUGCCAUGAUGUUUGAUUCAAUUAGUCAUACUUGAUAGUGUUGGAUCGAAUAGAGAGGGGAAAAGAGGACUCAUGUUACUGGUUUCAAGCUUAUUUAGAAUAAUGUGCAUCCUGUUGUUGCUGUUGUAAUGGAGUUUCAGAUGAUAAUCAUGUAAGGCACCAUAUUUUAUUGUCAUGAAAGUGAUCAAUAUUUAUAAUGAUCGGACUCGGGUACUGGUACAUAUCUAAGUGUCGGGUCUUUUAUUUUCAAAAAUGUAGAAUACAAAGACAUGGUUAAAAAGAAUCAAAUUCGAACACGGAUACAUGAAUACGUCUUUCAAAUGUCAAUUUUUUUCCAACCUAAAAUGUCAUUUUGAGUACAUAUUUAUUAUUUAAUCAAAACUUUGAGCUACAAAUAAAAAUUACCAUGACAGAGUGUCCGAAGAGUGUUAAUAUUCGACACGUGUCCACAGUAAAGAGUUUGUUUCUAGUUCCGAAAAAUAAGAAAUUGAUGAUAUGGUUGGACCAUAAUGACAAAGGAAAAUGAUUAACGAAUCAAUUUAAGCUAUGUUUUGGUGGCCUUAAAUUAAGCCUGGGACUUAAAAUUCAUGGAAAAUCAAUUAGAUCUGAAAGAUAACAUUUCUAAAUCCAAUUCCAAAGCUACAAUUCGAUCUAACCAAUGCAGCUUCAGAGACAACCAUAAUGCAGGUAUAACAUUUUCAACAGAAAAGUGCAAGGUGAAACUUCCUAAUAAGGUCCUAUGCCUGAAAUAUCAUGUUCUGUGGGUCAGUUUUGCCCGGAUAUAAUUGUGAAAUGGCCAUUGAUCCUUUUUUGGACUAUAAUAUCAAUAAACUAGAUGACUUCUGUGGUUCUACCACUUCAUAAGAGAAUAGCAAUUUUUAUGGAUACAUGGUACAGUCUCUAUUACCAGUUCUAAUUAUCAAGCAUAAAUUAUUGCACCUAUAUAAUGGACACAAGAAUCCACAACAUUUUUAUUUUACUGCGUUCACUUAAUUAAUUCUGUCACAAUAAAUAAUGAAAUUCCACGAAAUUCCUCAUUGCAGAGUUUCAAAACGAUCUGAAAGCCACUAAUUUAGCUUUGCAGCAAAAAAAAAAAAAAUAAUAAUAAUAAUAAAUAAAUAAAAAUAAAAAAUUUGCCCAAUCACCCAAAUAUGGGAACAAUAAACGUAUCUCCGUCAAUUCACAGAUUUUAGUAAUCUAAAUGUUAAUUCAAUUCGAAGAAUGACAAAAAAAAUACCUGAAAUUGAUGUGACGCAGUAUAUAAAUACCCUAAAGGCAGUAGUGGAGUCCUGUUCACCACGGUAUGUGUCGUUGAUCAAUCCUCGUGACUGGGAUUUUCCUGAUUAGGAGAGUUACAGUUAGACGAUCAUGUUAGCCUGGAACCAUGGUUAGUAGCAAUGGAUUGAGAGUGAGUGGGAAGAUUGAGGCCAAAGGGUCACAAGCAAUCUGUGGAGAUCAAGGAUAAUCCAGAUCAUGGUUCUUUCUCAAUACAAUUAAUUCUAUUUUUUCUGUGGAUGAUGCAAUCAUGUAAUUGAAGUUUAUUUUAAUGCUAUUUAACUUGCAACCGCAUUUUGAUCUGAUUGGCUAAAUCAAAA